Molecule: ribosomal RNA, 447 nt
Filed under: uncultured bacterium
Lineage: Bacteria
Description: bacterial SSU rRNA
Rfam family: Bacterial small subunit ribosomal RNA
Source: RNAcentral
UGCCAGACUCCUACGGGAGGCAGCAGUGGGGAAUAUUGCGCAAUGGGGGAAACCCUGAUGCAGCGACGCCGCGUGAGCGAUGAAGUAUUUCGGUAUGUAAAGCUCUAUCAGCAGGGAAGAAGAUGACGGUACCUGACUAAGAAGCCCCGGCUAACUACGUGCCAGCAGCCGCGGUAAUACGUAGGGGGCAAGCGUUAUCCGGAUUUACUGGGUGCAAAGGGAGCGUAGACGGCGAUGCAAGCCAGAUGUGAAAGCCCGGGGCUCAACCCCGGGACUGCAUUUGGAGCUGUGUGGCUGGAGUGUCGGAGAGGCAGGCGGAAUUCCUAGUGUAGCGGUGAAAUGCGUAGAUAUUAGGAGGAACACCAGUGGCGAAGGCGGCCUGCUGGACGAUGACUGACGUUGAGGCUCGAAAGCGUGGGGAGCAAACAGGAUUAGAUACCCGUGUAU